UGCCUGACGUAGACGCUAUUCCCUAAGAUUAACCCAUGCAUGUUUUUGAAGAUUAUUAUCUGAAAAAUGGACUGCUCAGUAAUACUCACUUUAUUUUAUGUGCACCGCAGAUAACUACGUUAAAGUGUAGAUAACAUGUGUACAGUAAGAGUGAGACCUAUCAGCUAGUUGUUAAGGUAAUGGCUUAACAAGGCAGUGACGGGUAACGGUAUUACUUUGUAAUAUUCCGGAGAAGGAGCCUGAGAGACGGCUACUAAGUCUAAGGAUUGCAGCAGGGGCGAAACUUGACCUAUGGAUUUUAUCUGAGGCAGUUAUGGGAAGUAAUAUAUUAUUGUUUCAUAUUUUAAAAAUAUAUGAGGUGAUUAAUUGGAGGGCAAAUCAAGUGCCAGCAGCCGCGGUAAUACUUGUUCCAAGAGUGUGUAUG
This 424-nucleotide ribosomal RNA is filed under the name Vairimorpha bombi. Its description in RNAcentral is "Nosema bombi partial small subunit ribosomal RNA". It matches the Rfam family "Microsporidia small subunit ribosomal RNA", at positions 15 to 431 of the family's 1311-position model. The record is from RNAcentral. Lineage: Eukaryota; Fungi; Microsporidia; Nosematidae.